RNAcentral lists this ribosomal RNA (216 nucleotides) under uncultured bacterium. RNAcentral describes it as "partial 16S ribosomal RNA". It matches the Rfam family "Bacterial small subunit ribosomal RNA", at positions 524 to 733 of the family's 1533-position model. The record is from RNAcentral.
UACGUAGGUGGCAAGCGUUGUCCGGAAUUAUUGGGCGUAAAGCGCGCGCAGGCGGUCCUUUAAGUCUGAUGUGAAAAGCCCCACGGCUCAACCGUGGAGGGGUCAUUGGAAAACUGGGGGGGACUUGAGUGCAGGAGAGAAGAGUGGAAUUCCACGUGUAGCGGUGAAAUGCGUAGAGAUGUGGAGGAACACCAGUGGCGAAGGCGACUCUUUGGC